GGACGGAAUUGUUGGUUUACAAUUUUUGACUUAUACUUUAAAUGUCAAUUUUGCUAAGAUGAACCUUUGAAUGAAUUUUCUUCAUAGGUAUUCUUUUUUUAUGACUGUGGGUGUUCGGGCCAACUUACGAGCACCUUGACUAAUCCCACGGGCCCUGUACUUUACAGCCGGGAUACUUACCUCAGUGGCCCUAAGAGGACUCAAACUAGUGACCAUUGAAGAGCAAACCCAAAGCAAGCUACCUCUUAGGGUUAAUGUUCUUCAUUGGUCAUAAACGAUGGCUUUAUUGGAAGACUCAUUUUUCAGAUACAGGACGGUAAUUUUUUUUAGUUUGUUUUUACUGUUUGAUUAUAAAUAUAAUUCAUUUUUAUAAUUUGUUUGUUGAUUUUUUUUUUUUUUUUUAAAAAAAUUGGGGGUUUCUGGAUGUUUACUGUUUUGAUGAUUGUAAUAGGAUUUGAAGUAGGCAACUAUAAAGGGAUUUGGAUUACCAACAGAGAGAUAUUCGUUUGAUUUGGGUGGCUCGUUAGUGGGUAAAUCUGUAGCAUAUGAAUUUGAUGUUCAAAUUGAUAAUAAAGUUCUUCCACUUAAGCUUAUGGAAUAUAGAGAAUGUGAACUAAUUGAAGCAAGUAGAUUUACCCAUUUUUUGAGUAGACAUGAGGAAAGUGAAUAGGUGGAAAGUCGGCGACUGGACCAUCAGAUGCUUGUCUUGGCGCCUGUUCCAGUUGGUUGGUCCAAUGAAAUUGUGGAUUCAGGAUACGAAGAAUAUAAGGAUUUCACUACUGGUAAGUUCAAGUUGCAAUGAUCUGUUUAUCUCCUAUUGUAUGUUUUCAAUGUUUGUGGCAUAUGUGGUAAUGAGUAUUGCAUAGCAAUCAACACUAUUAUGGUGAAAAAGAACUAAAUAUAACCUAAAAUUCUUGUUCAUUCUAAUAUCUCCUGUAAUCGUGUGUUACUGCGUGCAUACACAUGCACUUAUUGUAUUUGUUAAUCAUACCUUUUGGAUGCAUAUAGUUGAACCCUGAACCCUAAAGAAUGGGAGAAACGACAUUUUAUGAUCCAAUUACAGGCCAAGUGUUUGUGAUAUUCUACAGCUCCCAACUCCCUCGUGAACAGCUUCCAGAUCACAUGUUCUUUAGUUAAGUUCUAUAGUAAGCUACAUGCAACUUGUCUUUCAUCAUUGUCAACAUGGUAUGAUUUUUGACAAUUUGGGAACUAAACAUGGUAUGCAUUGUGACAAUUUAUGAUUUCUUGAUUUUUUUUCUCUCUUUUCUAGUUUAUUCCAUAUGUUUAAUUUCUUGUGUUUUGUGUGAAAAGUUUUUUUUUUUGGCUUCUCAUUGGUAUUUUAUGAGUAUAUCUUUGGAUUUCUAAGCAAGUUGUGGCUUUCAUGAAAGCCUUUGUUGAUAUGUAGAUACUUUCACAGAUUAUUGAUAUUGAUCUUCCUGUUAAUGAUGUCGAUUUUUUGAUUUGUAGUUUUUUGAUGGGUAUGGAUAUCAUAGAACACCAUUUGAGCAAACAUAAAGAUGUUACCCCACGUCUUUUAUUGACAAUGUUGGAAAACUUCCUUCAGCAACUUUGUUUAAAGUACUAAUUAUUUUUGGUAAUAAUGUCUUUAUUUUGAUUUUAUGUUAUAUUAAAUAGUGUACAUAUUUCAAUUACUUGCUUUCAAAACAUUUCGAUUUACUUUUCUUGUCAAACUUAAAGAUUUUUUAAUUUUCCUUCACUUUUCUUGGGCUGCCAGGAGUGAAUUUUGUUAUAUUUUUACUUUUUUCGGGUCAAUUUCACCACACGAGAUGGAAUAUGACCAUGUCUUUCGUGAAACUUACAGCUCGAGAUAAUCAACUUAAUAAAUUUUGGUGUAAUUCUGAUUUCUUCCAUCUCUUGCUUCUGCAGACACAGAUAGAAAAUGGUGACAAGGGUAAGAAAUCUAUAUUCGUCAAAAGUAGGCAGUCUAUUUAAAUAUUUCAUUGACAACAUAUAAUCUUAUUCCUCACUUCAUUAAUCCUGUACACUUCAUUCCAACAUAUCCUUGAAGGAUCAGAGGGGAUCGUUAUCUUGUGUUUGUAAUGAAGUGCAUAAAGGAUUAGAGUUUAUGAUGAAAUGAGACCGUUGCAAGGCAUAAAAGUGGUUUUUGAUUUCAUGAUAACUUUGGGUUUGUUCGUUUUUGGCGAAUUGCUAGUCUAAUUUGACUGAUGUAAGGCCAAUUUUGGGUAAAAUCCAUCGUUUAGGCCCUCGUUUAGGCGUUUUUGCUAUUUAUGAUAAUUUUUGUUUUUGCAAUAUCUCUUUCCAUAAAAUUUGGAUUUGAAUUUCGUUUGUUGGAGGAUGAUCCUGAAGAUAAGGAUUUUCCAUCUUAGCAGUUAUCUCAUAUUUUUCUAUUUUUUGAAAAAUAUAGUUUUUAUUCUAUUUUCUGAAUUUUGCUAGGUUGUUUUUCUAUUUAAAAGUGUUGUAAGCCCUUUGAGGCGGCGGUCUUGAAUUCAAUAAAAUUCCCUUGAGAGUUUUCUCAUUUUGUGAUUGUUCAUUUUUCCUAUGAUCUUUCGCUACGUCAGUUGGUAUCAGAGCCGAAAUUGUUCCUUCACCAUGCCGCUAAGGAGAUGUCUUGAAGCCCGUGAUGCCUCAGUAGAGAAGGUACAUAGAUGUGAUGAAAUCGCACAGUUAUGUCAACAAGUGGAAUUGCUGACACAGCAGAUCGCUACACUUAUGCAGCAGCAGCCUGCGCCUGUAGGCCAACAGCUUAAGGAUUCCGAUGAUGAGAAUCCGUUUGCACCGCUUGAACAACCAUUGGAUCUACCAGUUUGCUGGAGAAGGGGUGGUCAGGAAGACAAUUGACGUUGGGAAUCAGGAUUUAAGGUUGAUAUUCCAGAAUUUCAUGGUAGGUUGAGUCUAGAUGAAUUUUUGGAUUGGGUGACUGCAGUUGAGGAGAUCUUGGAGUCUAAAGAGGUUCCUACUAAUACAUGUGUGCCUCUCAUUGCGACGAGGAUUCGUGGGCGAGCAGUGGCAUGGUGGCAGCAGACUUAGGUGAUGAGAGCCAGGCUAGGGGAACCUAAGCUUGCAUCGUGGGCAAAUUGAAGAAGCAUAUGAAGAAACAGUUUUUGCCUUACAAUUAUGUGUGGACCAUAUACCAACAACCGCAGAAUCUGCGUCAAUGUGCGAAAAUGAUUAGUGAUUAUUCCACGAAUCUUUAUAUGCUGAUUACGAGGAACGAGAUGAUGGAGAUGGAGGAGCAGUUGGUGUCAUGGUACGUGGGUGGUCUUCGUCUCCAAAUACAGGAUACUCUCAAUAUGUUUGAUCCUGUAACAAUUUUUGAAGUACAUCAGAGGGCAAUACAGAAAGAGAAGCAAUAGUCCAGGAGAACUACUAGUCCUUUCAUUGCGGGGGAGUUCUUCCAGUAACCCACAACAGCAGGUGACACGUCCUAAUAAUCCUACUCAAUCUGGUAUUCCUAGAACAAAUCAUGUCCAACAACCAACACAUCCUGGGGUUCAUUGUUUUGGAUGCAGAGUUACAGGCCAUAGGCAGUCUGAGUGCCCCGAAAAUCCGUGCAGGGGACUCUUUGUUGAUGAGGGGAAUGGCGAUUAUGAAGGUCCGACUGUAUUUGACGGUGAAGGUGUAGAAGAAGCAACAGGAGAGGAAGAGUUUGUGGUUGGUGAUGUGGGUCAGGCACUGGUGCUGAGGAGGAGUUUCCUAACUCCCUUGGAGAAUAACACUGAUUGGUUCCCUAAUAAUAUUUUUCAAUCGACAUGUACAAUUGGAGGGAAGGUAUGUAAAUUUGUUAUUGAUUCUGGUAGUUAUGUGAAUGUGGUGGCUGAGGAGGUCGUUAAGAAGCUGGGUUUGCACAUUGAGAAAUAUCCCAAAUCAUAUAAAUUAGUGUGGCUGAAAAGAGGCAAUGACGUAGAAGUGUCUCAACGUGCUCGAAUCAGCUUCUCCAUUGGACCUACCUACAAGGAUCAGGUUUUAUGUGAUGUAGUAGAGAUGGAUACGUGUCAUUUACUGUUAGGAAGGCUAUGGCAGUUUGAAAGGCACUCACUGCAUGAUGGAUAUACCAGCACGUACAACUUUCUAUUUAGGAGAAAGAAAAUUGUGUUACUACCGAAUAAGGGUUCAGUACAAAUAGUUGGGAAGAACGCCAAUUUACUGACCAGAAAGAAGUUCGAGACAGAGAUGGAGGAGUCUGGGGUAGUGUAUAUGCUGGUUGGAAAGUCGAUUGAAAGUGAACAUCAAGUCCCUCUUGCAGUUCAGCCAUUGCUGAAGGAGUUUCAUGAAGUUUUCCCAGAAGAACUUCCAGAUGGAUUACCACCACUGCGGGAUAUUCAGCAUCAAAUUGACUUGGUACAUGUGCUAUCCUUCCUAACUGAGCGCAUUACAGAAUGAGCCCCACUGAGAAUGAGGAGUUGCAUAAGCAAGUUGCGGAGCUUCUGGCAAAAGGACACAUCAGGAAGAGUCUUAGUCCUUGUGUUGUUCCUGCUCUUCUCACGCCAAAGAAGGAUGGUACGUGGCGCAUGUACGUGGAUAGUAGGGCGAUCAAUAAGAUUACGGUGCGUUACCACUUUCCUAUUCCCCACCUGGAUGAUUUGUUGGACCAUCUUACCGGUGCUUGUGUGUUUAGCAAGCUCGAUUUGAAGAGUGGUUACCAUCAGAUUCAGAUCAGACGUGGGGAUGAGUGGAAGACCGCAUUUAAGACGAGGGAAGGAUUGUAUGAGUGGUUAGUCAUGCCCUUCGGCCUCUCAAAUGCACCCAGUACAUUUAUGCGGGGUUAUGAAUGAGGAUCUUCGCCCAUUCAUUGGUAAAUUUGUUGUGGUCUACUUUGACGAUAUUUUAAUUUAUAGUGCUAACGAUGAUGAUCAUGUCUAGCACCUUCGGGAAGUUCUUUCAGUUCUUCGCAGGGAUAAAUUCUAUGCUGCAGUGAAGAAGUGUUCAUUUCUUACUGAUAAUGUGGUGUUCCUGGGUUAUGUGGUGUCGAAGGCGGGGUUAGCAGUUGAUACAUCUAAAGUAGAGGCGAUAAGUAAGUGGCCACAGCCCAAGACUGUCACUGAGGUGCUAAGUUUUCAUGGGCUUGCUUCCUUCUAUCACAGGUUCAUACUAUAUUUUAGUAACAUCAUGGCACCAAUUACAGAUUGCAUGAAGGAUUGUAGGUUUCAGUGGAUUCACGAGGCAGAGUCGUCUUUCCAAUUGAUUAAGUAGAAGUUGACUACUGCUCCAUUUUUGGUGUGCCGGACUUUACCCAACCAUUUGAGCUACAUUGUGAUGCUUUGAAAGUGGGUAUUCGUGGUGUUCUGAGUCAGAACAACCGCCCUAUUGCAUAUUUUAGUGAGAAGCUUUCUGGCCUGAAGUCUCGGUAUAGUACUUAUGAUGUGGAGUUCUAUACAAUAGUCCAAGCCAUUCGACAUUGGCAUCACUAUUUGAUCCACAAGGAGUUCAUUUUGUAUAAGGAUCAUGACGCCCUUAAACACCUUGGUACUCAGGAUAAGGUAUCUGCUCAACAUGCCUCUUCGAUUGCUUACUUACAGUAGUUUACUUUUGUGAUCAAGUACAAGACAGAUGCCAUUAACAAAAUUGCAGAUGCAUUGAAUAGGCGCCAAACUUUCCUUAUGGAAAUGUGAGUGGAGGUUCCAGGUUUUGACAGUUUUUGUGACUUAUAUGCUACUGACCCAUUCUUUUCCCAUGUUAUUCAGAAGUUGCAGGAUGGUUUGCAGUUGGAGUUUGCAUGGGUUGAUGGUUAUCUUUUUCAUGGCAAUCCGUUGUGUAUUCCAGAGGGCAGUUUGAGGUUGAAGAUCAUUCAAGAGUUGCAUAAUAAGGGCCAUGUGGGUCGUGACCGAACAUUGCAACUUGUUGUUACUUCUUACUUUUGGCCAUCAUUGCGCAAAGAUGUCGGCAAGUUUGUGGAGCGUUGUCGGGUUUGUCACUUGGCCAAGGGCAAGGCGACAAAUGCGGGAUUGUAUAUGUCCUUGUCUAUUCCAACCCAGCCUUGGACAAACGUGAGCAUGGAUUUCGUUGCGGGACUCUCUAGGACUCAAUGUGGGUUUAAUUCGAUCUUAGUAGUGGUUGAUCGGUUUUCAAAGAUUGUGUAUUUCAUCCCCUGCAAGAAGACUACAGAUGCUAUCAAUGUGGCCUUAACUGUAUUUCCGUGAGGUUUAUCGCCUGCAUGGAUUGUCGACAUCUAUUGUGUCUGGUCGGGAUACUCAUUUCCUCAACUACUUUUGGCGCAGUUUAUGGUGCUCGGUGAAUACACAGUUGGACUUCAGCGGUGCAUAUCACCCUCAAAUAGAUGGUCAAACAAAGGUUGUUAAUCAUUCCUUGGGUGAUUUACUACAUUGGUUGGUUGGUGAUCACAUCAAGUCUUGGGAUCAGAAGUUGUGUCAAGCAGAAUUUGCUCACAAUCAUGCUUUUAACCGAAGUACAGGUUUUAGUCCAUUCCAGGUGGUGUAUGGACUUGUUCCACGUCAUCCUCUUGAUCUAGUUCCAGUUUCUACUUCUGUUAAAAUGCAUAGUAAGGUCGAAGACUUUAUUCAGCAAUUGCAGCAGGUUCACUCACAAGCUCAUGAUCAGUUGCAGGCUGCUAUCACUGAGUAUAAGCGUGCUGCGGAUCUUAAAUGCCGACAUGUUGAAUUUAGGUAGAUGACUUUGUUUGGAUGGUGUUAACAAAGGAUCGUGUUCCUGCUCAUGAAUACAACAAGCUUACUACAAAAAAGAUUGGUCCAUUGAAGGUCAUUGAGAAGAUCAAUCCGAAUGCUUAUCGUUUGAAGCUGCCCAACCAUAUUCGUACAUCCGACGUGUUCAAUAUCAAGCAUUUGGUGCCAUUUCGUGGUGAUAAUUCCGAUGAUGAUGAAGCUCCUUUCCUGUCAAAUUCGAGGGUGAAUUUUUCCCACCUUUGGGAGAAUGAUGAAGUGCAUAAGGGAUUAGAGUUUAUGAUGAAAUGGGACCGUCACAAGGCAUAAAAGUGGUUUUUGAUUUCAUGAUAACUUCGGGUUUGUUCGUUUUUGGCAAAUUGCUAGUCUAUUUCGAUUGGAAUCGAGCCAAUGAAUAAAUUUUUGGCAAAAUCCAAUGUUUAGGCCCUCGUUUAGGCGUUUUUGCUAUUUAUGGUAAUUUUUGUUUUUGCAAUAUCUCUUUCCAUAAAAUUCGGAUUUGAAUUCUGUUUGUUGGAGGAUGAUCCUGAAGAUAAGGACUUUCCAUCUUAGUACUUAUCUCAUAUUUUUCUAUUUUUGGAAAAAUAUAAUUUUUAUUCUAUUUUCCGAAUUUUGCUGUUUUUUUUCUAUUUAAAAGCCUUGUAAGCCCUUUGAGGUGACGGUCUUGAAUUCAAUAAAAUUCCUUUGAGAGUUUUCUCAUUUUGUGAUUGUUCAUCUUCCCUAUAAUCUUUCGCUACGUCAGUUUGCUUCCACAUUGCUUCACUUUUUUGUUCUUCAUAAUAUUUCUUAGGUCAUAAAUGAGAUGAUUAAUGGGGAAGCAGAUUAUUGUUUUGAAUGUGCUGGAAUGACUUCUUUGGUCGAAAGCACAUAUGCUGUUGCCGAACGAUUUUAUUCUGUCUUGAUUGGAGUCCUUUCUCUUUUAUGCACUGACUCUCACUCGGUAUAGGUUAGUGGGUCAUAAGCAUGACCACCUUAUAUGUCACAAUCAUACCAUUCUUUUCUUCUCUCAUUUAUAUAUGAGAUAAGAUGUCUAAAUGAUUUCUCAGUUAUAUUGAUAAGCGAAAGAUAUUUUAUGAAAAGUCAUUAAUUUUUAUCCCAUUCCAUUUACCCUCUUUUUCGUCUAACUUUAGGUUCAGGGUUGGGGCAAGACAGUGGUGCUAGGGGUGGACAAACCUAGAGGAGAGCUGAAAUUCAGUUCAUUUGAAGCUCAUUAUUCUGGGAUAACUUAAACAGGAUCAACUGUAUAUUUAAUUCUUGAGGAUAAAGAGAUAUAUAUUUUUUAGGUGCAUUAUAAUUGAUACAUAGCAUGUUUGCUGUACUCUUUUAUAUUUAGAUGUAACCAUGGUGAAUAGUUGUCAUUUGUGUUUCGAUAAAAUAUUUUGUAUUCAAUGUUACAUUGAUUAAG
Molecule: long non-coding RNA, 8019 nt
Filed under: Olea europaea subsp. europaea
Lineage: Eukaryota; Viridiplantae; Streptophyta; Magnoliopsida; Lamiales; Oleaceae
Source: RNAcentral